UGGGGAAUUUUGGACAAUGGGCGAAAGCCUGAUCCAGCAAUGCCGCGUGUGUGAAGAAGGCCUUCGGGUUGUAAAGCACUUUUGUCCGGAAAGAAAUCCUUGGCUCUAAUACAGUCGGGGGAUGACGGUACCGGAAGAAUAAGCACCGGCUAACUACGUGCCAGCAGCCGCGGUAAUACGUAGGGUGCAAGCGUUAAUCGGAAUUACUGGGCGUAAAGCGUGCGCAGGCGGUUUGCUAAGACCGAUGUGAAAUCCCCGGGCUCAACCUGGGAACUGCAUUGGUGACUGGCAGGCUAGAGUAUGGCAGAGGGGGGUAGAAUUCCACGUGUAGCAGUGAAAUGCGUAGAGAUGUGGAGGAAUACCGAUGGCGAAGGCAGCCCCCUGGGCCAAUACUGACGCUCAUGCACGAAAGCGUGGGGAGCAAACAGGAUUAGAUACCCUGGUAGUCCACGCCCUAAACGAUGUCAACUAGUUGUUGGGGAUUCAUUUCCUUGGUAACGUAGCUAACGCGUGAAGUUGACCGCCUGGGGAGUACGGUCGCAAGAUUAAAACUCAAAGGAAUUGACGGGGUCAUAGCUGUUUCCU
Molecule: ribosomal RNA, 585 nt
Filed under: uncultured bacterium
Lineage: Bacteria
Description: partial 16S ribosomal RNA
Rfam family: Bacterial small subunit ribosomal RNA
Source: RNAcentral